This 313-nucleotide unclassified non-coding RNA is filed under the name Hevea brasiliensis (rubber tree). The record is from RNAcentral. Lineage: Eukaryota; Viridiplantae; Streptophyta; Magnoliopsida; Malpighiales; Euphorbiaceae.
GACGCUCAAGGAAGCGGUGCAAAACUCCGGAUCGGUUCGCGCGCGCCUUGGUUACGCGCCGGGUGCCUGGCUUUUCUACGCAACGGGCGGUCUGGCGUGGACUUACAACCGGUCGACGCUCGCAUCGGUCGCGGCAACCGACGGCGAGAGGCACGAUCUCACCCGGCUCGGCCUCGCAUGGGGCGCGGGGGCCGAACUCGGAUUGUCGCCCAAUUGGUCGGCCAAGCUCGAAUACCUCGGCACAGGUUUCGGAUCGCAAGGCGUGACAUUUUCGGGAGCGGCGCAGCGGGUCUCGUCGGAUUGGACGGGCCAC